Long non-coding RNA from Maniola jurtina (meadow brown), 849 nucleotides. RefSeq lists it as uncharacterized. NCBI's taxonomy places the organism in Eukaryota, Metazoa, Arthropoda, Insecta, Lepidoptera, Nymphalidae. The transcript is spliced from 2 exons. The record is from RefSeq and is a predicted model, not a curated record.
CAGUACGUGAUUACUCACGUCCUGUAGAAUGUUCGCGACAUAGGAUAUAAUAUUGACGUGUCUCUAAAAAUUAUUUAGAAAGACUCUACAUGUAUGGCAAAUUAAUUAUUGUGUAAAGUAUAUGACAAAGAAAGUACCAAUAAAAAUAAUAAAAAAUCUCACUCAUUAUUUUAAAAGUUAUUUAUCAUUCUACAAUGUUCGUGAAAAAUAAUCACACCUGUAGAAAAAAAUUGCCGAAAUGCUAAAAUUUUUAUUUUUCAAGUUGGAUCAUUGGUUUAUAGCUCUAGCAACUCUAUGAUUUGCCUUGUUAUGACUAGUGUAGGCCAUAUUUCCGCGAGUGAUAGCAUUUCAGAGAAUCAUUAAGUUGUAUAGGCGUUCUACACCAGUGUCAAAGUUGAAGUCUCAUUUCUGUACUCAAUAAAAAAAAUUUUUACAGGUAUAUUAGGCAAAACGCGAUUGGAGAAAGAAAAAGAGUAACAUUUAGGAAGAACAAAAAAAGGCUUGGAUACCAAAGAAGAGACAAAAAAUGACCAAAGCUGGACUGGAAGGAGCACAUCGAAAAUAUAGAGAAAGAUACUAAAAAAAACUAUUAAGAAGCUGGGAAAAUAAAAUCAAUCAAAGACUACACACCAAGAGCACAAAAAACAAUAAGAAAGAGUUGGCCAGAGUUUCACAAAGAUCUACAGUAUUUUCUAGAUUUUCCUUGGAUCAAAGUCUUGCAGACAAAAAUAGAUGAACACUGAAAUUAGAAAAUUUGCUUCUUAAGCGAAGAAAAUUAAGCUAGCAGAGUUUGAAAAACAGCUCGGAUUUGCUCCCAUUACAAAAUUAGGCUUAUUUACUUUACUCCCA